CCUUCGGGCUUUCUGCAAGGUGCUGCAUGGUUGUCGUCAGCUCGUGCCGUGAGGUGUCGGGUUAAGUCCCAUAACGAGCGCAACCCUUAUCGUUAGUUGCCAUCUGGUAAUGCAGGGGACUCUAGCGAAACUGCCACCGUAAGGUGAGAGGAAGGUGGGGAUGACGUCAAAUCAGCACGGUCCUUAUGUCCAGGGCUACACACGUGUUACAAUGGUCGGUACAGAGGGCAGCUACCUGGUGACGGGAUGCUAAUCUCGAAAACCGGUCUCAGUUCGGAUCGAAGUCUGCAACUCGACUUCGUGAAGCUGGAUUCGCUAGUAAUCGCGCAUCAGCUAUGGCGCGGUGAAUACGUUCCCGGGCCUU
This 364-nucleotide ribosomal RNA is filed under the name uncultured Sphingobacteriales bacterium. RNAcentral describes it as "bacterial SSU rRNA". It matches the Rfam family "Bacterial small subunit ribosomal RNA", at positions 1014 to 1382 of the family's 1533-position model. The record is from RNAcentral. Lineage: Bacteria; Pseudomonadati; Bacteroidota; Sphingobacteriia; Sphingobacteriales.